Molecule: ribosomal RNA, 1124 nt
Filed under: uncultured bacterium
Lineage: Bacteria
Description: bacterial SSU rRNA
Rfam family: Bacterial small subunit ribosomal RNA
Source: RNAcentral
AUUGAUUUUAUGCUUGCAUAAAUGAUUUUUUGGAUUCGGAGCGAGUGGCGAACUGGUGAGUAACACGUGGGUAACCUGCCCCGAAGCGGGGGAUAACAUUUGGAAACAAGUGCUAAUACCGCAUAAUUAGUUGGAACCGCAUGGUUCCAACUUGAAAGAUGGCUCUGCUAUCACUUUGGGAUGGACCCGCGCCGUAUUAGUUAGUUGGUGAGAUAAAAGCCCACCAAGACGAUGAUACGUAGCCGACCUGAGAGGGUAAUCGGCCACAUUGGGACUGAGACACGGCCCAGACUCCUACGGGAGGCAGCAGUAGGGAAUCUUCCACAAUGGACGAAAGUCUGAUGGAGCAACGCCGCGUGAGUGAUGAAGGUUUUCGGAUCGUAAAACUCUGUUGUUAAAGAAGAACAAGUGUUAGAGUAACUGUUAACACUUUGACGGUAUUUAACCAGAAAGCCACGGCUAACUACGUGCCAGCAGCCGCGGUAAUACGUAGGUGGCAAGCGUUGUCCGGAUUUAUUGGGCGUAAAGCGAGCGCAGGCGGUUUUGUAAGUCUGCUGUGAAAGCCCUCAGCUCAACUGAGGAAGUGCAGUGGAAACUACAAAACUUGAGUACAGAAGAGGAAAGUGGAACUCCAUGUGUAGCGGUGAAAUGCGUAGAUAUAUGGAAGAACACCAGUGGCGAAGGCGGCUUUCUGGUCUGUUACUGACGCUGAGGCCCGAAAGCAUGGGUAGCGAACAGGAUUAGAUACCCUGGUAGUCCAUGCCGUAAGCGAUGAAUACUAGGUGUUGGAGGGUUUCCGCCCUUCAGUGCCGCAGCUAACGCAUUAAGUAUUCCGCCUGGGGAGUACGACCGCAAGGUUGAAACUCAAAGGAAUUGACGGGGGCCCGCACAAGUGGUGGAGCAUGUGGUUUAAUUCGAUGCUACGCGAAGAACCUUACCAGCUCUUGACAUCUUCUGCCAACCCAAGAGAUUGGGCGUUCCCUUCGGGGACAGAAUGACAGGUGGUGCAUGGUUGUCGUCAGCUCGUGUCGUGAGAUGUUGGGUUAAGUCCCGCAACGGGCGCAACCCUUAUUAUUAGUUGCCAGCAUUUAGUUGGGCACUCUAGUGAGACUGCCGGUGAUAAA